This 441-nucleotide ribosomal RNA is filed under the name uncultured bacterium. RNAcentral's name for it is "partial 16S ribosomal RNA". It matches the Rfam family "Bacterial small subunit ribosomal RNA", at positions 339 to 795 of the family's 1533-position model. The record is from RNAcentral.
CUACGGGAGGCAGCAGUGAGGAAUAUUGCACAAUGGGGGGAACCCUGAUGCAGCAACGCCGCGUGGAGGAUGACGCAUUUCGGUGUGUAAACUCCUUUUAUAUGUCAAGAAAAUGACGGUAGCAUAUGAAUAAGCGCCGGCUAACUCCGUGCCAGACGAGCCGCGGUAAUACGGAGGGCGCAAGCGUUACUCGGAAUCACUGGGCGUAAAGGACGCGUAGGCGGGUUGAAAAGUCAGGUGUGAAAGCCUACAGCUUAACUGUAGAACUGCACUUGAAACUCUCAACCUAGAGUAUGGGAGGGGCAGAUGGAAUUAGUGGUGUAGGGGUAAAAUCCGUAGAUAUCACUAGGAAUACCUAAAGCGAAGGCGAUCUGCUGGAACAUUACUGACGCUAAGGCGUGAAAGCGUGGGGAGCAAACAGGAUUAGACACCCCCGUAGUC